This 498-nucleotide ribosomal RNA is filed under the name uncultured bacterium. Its description in RNAcentral is "partial 16S ribosomal RNA". It matches the Rfam family "Bacterial small subunit ribosomal RNA", at positions 28 to 523 of the family's 1533-position model. The record is from RNAcentral.
GAUGAACGCUAGCGGCAGGCCUAAUACAUGCAAGUCGAGGGAGAAUGUUGGAUUCGUCUGACAUGAAACCGGCGCACGGGUGCGUAACACGUAUGCAACCUACCUUUAACUGGGGUAUAGCUCAGAGAAAUCUGAAUUAAUCCCCCAUAAGACUACGACAUGGCAUCAUGAUGUAGUUAAAGCUCCGGCGGUUAAGGAUGGGCAUGCGGUACAUUAGCUAGUUGGUGGGGUAAUGGCUCACCAAGGCUACGAUGUAUAGGGGGUCUGAGAGGAGGAUCCCCCACACUGGUACUGAGACACGGACCAGACUCCUACGGGAGGCAGCAGUAGGGAAUAUUGGUCAAUGGACGCAAGUCUGAACCAGCCAUGCCGCGUGAAGGAUGAAGGCCCUAUGGGUCGUAAACUUCUUUUAUUAGGGAAGAAAAAACGGGAUGCGUCCUGUACUGACGGUACUUAAUGAAUAAGGAUCGGCUAACUUCGUGCCAGCAGCCGCUGUAA